This 533-nucleotide ribosomal RNA is filed under the name Hydrolaetare caparu. Its description in RNAcentral is "partial 16S ribosomal RNA". It matches the Rfam family "Bacterial large subunit ribosomal RNA", at positions 1857 to 2591 of the family's 2925-position model. Lineage: Eukaryota; Metazoa; Chordata; Amphibia; Anura; Leptodactylidae. The record is from RNAcentral.
GCCUGCCAGUGACCUUGUUCAACGGCCGCGGUAUCCUAACCGUGCGAAGGUAGCAUAAUCACUUGUUCUUUAAAUGAGGACUAGUAUGAAUGGCAUCACGAAGGUUAUACUGUCUCCUUUUUUUAAUCAGUGAAACUAAUCUCCCCGUGAAGAAGCGGGGAUAAGUCUAUAAGACGAGAAGACCCUAUGGAGCUUUAAACGAAGCAACACCUGUUAAGCAAUAAAAAAAUUUAAGAAAACUAACAAACACUUUAACACCCUGUAUGCAAGUUUUAGGUUGGGGCGACCACGGAGUACAAUUUAACCUCCGCAAUGAAAAGACAAACCUCCUUAACCAAGAGUAACAACUCUAAGUAUCAAAAAAUUGACAUUCUUUGACCCAAUAAUUUGAUCAAUGAACCAAGUUACCCUAGGGAUAACAGCGCAAUCCUCUUCAAGAGCCCCUAUCGACAAGAGGGUUUACGACCUCGAUGUUGGAUCAGGGGCUCCCAGUGGUGCAGCCGCUACUAAAGGUUCGUUUGUUCAACGAUUAA